AUACGGAGGAUCCGAGCGUUAUCCGGAUUUAUUGGGUUUAAAGGGAGCGUAGGCGGACUAUUAAGUCAGCUGUGAAAGUUUGCGGCUCGACCGUAAAAUUGCAGUUGAUACUGGUCGUCUUGAGUGCAGUAGAGGUAGGCGGAAUUCGUGGUGUAGCGGUGAAAUGCUUAGAUAUCACGAAGAACUCCGAUUGCGAAGGCAGCUUACUGGACUGUAACUGACGCUGAUGCUCGAAAGUGUGGGUAUCAAACAGGAUUAGAUACCCUGGUAGUCCACACAGUAAACGAUGAAUACUCGCUGUUUGCGAUAUACGGCAAGCGGCCAAGCGAAAGCAUUAAGUAUUCCACCUGGGGAGUACGCCGGCAACGGUGAAACUCAAAUGAAUUGACGGGG
Molecule: ribosomal RNA, 393 nt
Filed under: uncultured bacterium
Lineage: Bacteria
Description: partial 16S ribosomal RNA
Rfam family: Bacterial small subunit ribosomal RNA
Source: RNAcentral